AGAAAGAAACUGAGCUGGGCCUUUGGGCAUAUUCUGGCAAAGUAAACCUGGCAUGAUUUCAGUGGGGUAAGGAGAAAAAUAGAAGGCACACCAAUGGCAUAAAAUUUAAUUGGAAAAGGCAUCCUAGGAAUGAUGCAGCAGGCAAAAGGAUGACGAUAAGUUCAGGGUGUUCUAUUGGUAAUGCUUACAAGUUUACAUAGUUGACUGUAUGUGGCAUUUGUUGCAUAUUUUUUUGGCCAGGCCCAUAGAUGUGGAAGUCCCCAAGCUAGGGAAUUAACCCAUGUGACAUCAGUAACCACAGCCAAAGCAGUGACAAUGCCAGAUCCUUAAGCCACUAAGCCAACAGGGAACUCUCUGUUGUGUUUUAAAUAUACAGUAUAUAUCAGAGCUCCCGUUGUGGCUCAGCAGAGUUAAGGACCCAUCUGUGAGGAUGCCAAUUUAAUCCCUGGCCUCUCUUCGGGUUAAAUAUCUAGUGUUUCUGUAAGCUGCAGUGUAGAUAAAAGAUUUGGGGCUCCAUUCUGCUGUUGCCAUGGCUGUGGUAUAGGCCUCAGCUGAAGCUCCAAUUCAGCCCCUGGCCCAGGAACUUUCAUAAGCUGCAGAUGCAGCCAUAAAAAUGAAAAAUACAGUAAGAUAAAUAAAUAUGCAAUAUAAACUUGUUCUCAGGAGAUUUCUUGGGAGUUCCCCUAGUGCCUCAGUGGUAAAGAAACUAGUAUUCAUGAGGGUGCAGGUUCAAUCCCUGGCCUUGCUCAUUGGGUUAAGGAUCCGGCGUUGCUGUGAGCUGUGGUGUAGGUUGCAGGCCUGGCUUGGUUCCUGGGUUGCUGUGGCUGUGGUGUAGGCUGGCAGCUUGCAGCUCCGAUUUGACCCCUAGCCUGGGAACCUCCAUAUGCCAUGUGUACGGCCCUAAAAAACAAAAUAAAUAAAUAAUAAAUAAAUAUGCAAAAGCUUGAUAGAAGUGACAGAAAGUACAUAAAAAUUUAUUUUUGUUUAAUAGGUUUAUGUCUAAUUAGUUGACCAAUGGGGGGGGGGGACACUAAUAGUGCCAGAUAACUGGAAUCAGUGUUAUUUAACAGCAUGGGGUUCCAUCAACAAUGGAACAAACUUCUAGGCUUUAUUUCAUCCAAGUCCAAGAAGCUCCCUGCGGUGGUGGUGGCAGCACUGCAUCCUUUAAAGUUGCUAAUCAUGUUCCUCAUGGGUCCUGGCCACCUUUUCCAACAGUCUCUGGUCAUGGGCCAUUUGUGCCUGUUUUGUUAUAAUAUAUCUCUCCCAUAAUCCCUAAAGCUCAUGCAGAUGAUGUUUAGAGAUCCCAUCGGAAAAGAACACAGACACUGCUCCUUGUUUAAUCCCUACUUAAAUAAAAUGGUAUCUUAUAAUGACAUUACAUAGUCUACAAGACCUUUGUCAAAUGCUUUUCAUUUUAAUGUAUUUUUGUUGUUGUCUUCUCUGAGAAGGUUUGAACUCUUGCAUGUGUUAACUGAUGCAGGGGUGAAUGGAAAUAAGUAUUGAUCAAACUAGUACUUUUACACUUUUUUUUUUCCUUUCUCUCAUAGGGUUUCUUGAGUUUUCUUUUUUUUUGUUUUUUAAUAGCAUUGCUUUCAUUUUUGUUCACAGCACAGUGACAACGGGGUGUAUGAAUAUCCUUACUCUUAUUACAGAUUCAAUCAUUGGCCCUUUACCUUUACAUAUUUCAAACAAGAAUAUUACCCCCUCUAGUUAAAAGUCUCAAUUGAGUUGGCAUAUGAAAAGCAUGCACACAUGAACACACACACACAUUUUAGGGUACUGCAAAUCAAAUGACAUUCCAUUUUCUGGGUAGCUCUAUGCAUUGACCUCAGAAAGGUUAUGUCUUAAAGUCUACAUUGUUGUUUGAAGACCUUUGACAGGAGAUUCUUGGGUUGUAACCUGAGUUUGUAAUUCUAACAAUCUGUAUGUUUAGAACACAAGUUCCUGAGGUCUAACGGACAUUCUUAGCUGCUAAAGACAGAGCCUUGAGGUUGUCUGUCCCUAUCUUGUGUACCCAUUGCUUGCUAAAUAACAGCCUCUGAUUUUGUCAGAUGUAACUAACCUCUGAAUACCUCUCUCUUAAUUUGGGAUGUAGAGAGGUGUUCACCUUCUGAUCCCUGCUCCAACUAUAGGAACAUUCUGUUUCAGAAACAUACACACACACGGAAGAGAUUAUAGGAUAGAGGGAGAACGAAUGUGAGACCCACCUGAGCAAGGUGAUAAAAAAAGACGUGAAAUAUUCUUAUGCCAGCCAAAAAGAGUUGUAACCAUACAUUGAGAAAUGAUGAUUUAAGGAUUUGAAAUACUUACUGCCUUAUUUCUAGGUGUUGAGAAGCAUCAGUAGUAUCUGCUUUUAAAAAAGCAAUAAGCUAUUGGAUGCCAAUAGAAAGAUUAAUUUUAUAUCUAAUUUGACUGUUAAAAAGAGGAAUUAUUACUCAUGUAGGAUAUUAUGCAAAGUAAAUAAUAUGAAUGAAUGUAUGAAUUUAGAAAUUCAUAUUUUAUUUAUUCAUCCUAGCUACAUAGUUAGAGAUUUUUUAUGGAGUUUGUACAUAGGCAUGGAACUACUAUUUCAUAUAGAACAUGGUUUUUCUUCUUUACUAGAUUUUGGUGGACCUCUCAUCCACCCCUUAAAUGUGUGUGUGAGCAUAUGCAUGCAUGAGCGCGCACACACACACACACAUCACCCUUUAAACAUUUUACUUGCAGUGUACUCUUAAGCUCCUAGGCAUGAAGGAAGCCUACUGAAAGUGACUUUUUUCUCCAGGUCACUGCUUAUGAUUACAGCUUAAAUGCAGAAUACAAUUCUGCCAUGUUUUCCCUCAUCUCAUCAAGCACAGCUUCUUCUCUUAUGUAAACAACAUCCAACUGUAAUGAUCAAGGUCAUUGGAACAUUUUCAUUGAAUGUAAGCAAAACUGAGUUCUUUAGAACACUUUGACCAAAGAUCAGAUGCUCAGAAUCAGUUUGGGAAAAGGAAUACUAUUGAAAAGUUACAGCUCUAUGGUGUCUAAUGAAAGGAAGAUCAAAAGAAAUCAUUACAGCUGGAUUAUGAACUUGGAGAAAGACGGUAUUAACACUUUCAGAGUUUUGAUAAUGGCAGGCUAAAGAUUGUUGAUUAGAAUUCAUUAUUCUAGUGUGUUACCAGUCUUAAAAGAGUUAGAUACUUUUUUAAAAAAAGGAGUCUUAAAAUAAUGAUGUUAAUUAAUCACUAAACUUAAACUGCACUCAAAAUUAUUUGGGGUUAAGAAAUGAAAUCUAACACGAGUGAAAGGAAGACAUGGGUUUUUCCCCCUCACUCCCUGGCUAUGCAGCUGGGGAUGGUCUUUGGUGAUGUUUCCACAGGUGAGGAAAACCAGGUGUUUUAUGCAUCCUCUCACAAAGAUGUUGCCAACAGAAGCUAUGAGUCAACCAAGUUCUGUCUGGGAAGCAGCUGCUGCUAUUUUCCUUUGGUUGUGGCUGAUCUCAAUUAAAAAGACUUUCAUGGUAGAAGGAAACUGUGGUCCCAGUUAUUCUGAUUAUCUUACAUAAGGAAGGCAAAGGUUUCUCCUCUGGACUCAAGGAAUAGACACAGGGACUGUAUAGCAAGUCACUUUCAUUUCAGACCACAGUCAUCUCGUCUGUGGAAAUAAGAUUGGGUUCCAGGCUCACUAAGGUCUCUCAGCUCCACCAUCCUAUAAUUCUAACUCUUGAAUUUUUCGCAACUAGACAGCAUUCUAACAAAUCAACAUCUUAUUUUCCUUUAUUUUAGAGCAAACUGUUGUUCACUGACAGAUUGCCAUGACUGACCACAGAGGCCCUGCAAUGGAAUGUUAAUACAGCUGUAGGAUUUUGUGUAUCUUUUGUAGGAUUGUAGAAAAAUAUGUUUGUGACUAGUCUAAUAUAUCUUUUGCUAAAAUAUUCUGAAACUAUCGGAGGGUUAGAUAAAUAACACGUAAAUAUUAACUUUGUUACAAGGUAAUAGCUUGUAAGUGUCCAAAGUGCCUUUAUAAGAGGUACUCUAUUUGAAUUUACCUCUGUUUGUAGACACAUACACACACAGACACAUAGACACACGUGAGCAUUUGAAGUUGUGCAGCAUUGAUAUAUAUUGUGAUAUCAAAAAAACAAAUUCAAUGAAUUCAGUCUUCUUCCCUGCUGUAUAAAGUCCUGUAGUCUGACAGAUCUCUUUGAUUUACAAAUCUAAAAAGAUCUGUCCUAGCUUAAGGGUUCCAAGUUAUUUUAGGAUAAAAUGUAAAACUCUUACCAUGAAAUACAGGCACCUCAAUACCCAACUUCUGAAUUUUCUAGGCUUUAAGUUGGCUACCAUUUCUCUCUCUGAUACAAUCUGUGCUCCAGCCAUUCUGACCUACUUUCAAAUUCUUGAAAUCUCUCCCCACCCACCACCACCCCAGUGUUAAGCCUUUAUAGUGUCUAUCUCCCUUGACAGAAAUGUGCUUCCCCUAACUCCACAUCCUUCUCUUCCUUCUGGUUACAGCUGAGUAAAUUUGACUUUGGGUGAAGGAGAUUAUAAUCAUUUCUUCAUAUCAGUUCUGCAUCUGACAACAGAGAAAGAGCCUAAGACUUUAAUUAAUGAAUUAUUUCAUAUUUAUUGAACAGCUGCUGCUACUGUGUAAAUAUUCCACAGGGGACAUACAUGGGAACAAGAUACAGACCCUUCUUUAAAAAACUAGAUAUGUGAAAUAUACAGACAUAAUGAUAAUGGAGAAUGACACAUGGGAAAUCCAAGAGCAACGGAGGUGAGAAUAGACGGUGACCACAUUCUAUUGAAUUUGGAAAACAACUUCUUUUAAUGUUAUUCUAUAUAAGAAUUUAUAAACUGCUUUGGUUCAAAGGACCUUCGUCCUUUGAAAGGCCCUGUCCAGUCUACUCUUGGGCAGUUGUCCAAGGAUCAAAUGAGUAGGUCUUAGACGCCCAAUUCCAGUUCAGUCAGAGCAGUUCUCCUCAUUUUCUGGAGCUUUAAAAAUGUUUGAAAGUCACGGGUCUCUUUUACCAGAUUAAUGGUGUAUUAUGGCAUUAAUAGGAAUUCUGAAGUUUAUUUAUACUUUCAAAGAAAUUGGGGGAUAGUAAAUGCAACGUCUCAAUUGAUAGCACCACGUGUUCCCCAAGUUGCUGAGGUGAAAUAGUGAUUUAGCAGUUUAGGGCCAUAUAUGAUAUUAAGGCAUCUCAGGAUAAUGCAUGCUUGACAAAUGCAUUCAUUGUUCUUUUUUCUUUGCUUCUGGUAGAAUUUCACAGAUGUAUUAUUUAUUUGAAAUUAUAGAAAUAACAUUUAUUAGAAAUUACUCUAAAGCAGCAUGAUCUUUGAGAAUGACUCAACACCCUGUAUUAAUUGCAAAUGUGUCAAUAUUUUGCAGUAGGAAUUCUGUUUUUUCAAUCAGGGGAAAGAGGCAUGGAGCUAAUAACUACAAAUACCUAAAAUACCCAUGGAAGAAAAAUGGCAUCUUAACCAAAGUACCUUUUUUUUUUUUUUUUAACCCGAGUAUGUUAUAGUACAUGGUUUAAGCUACUUGUAAUUUCUGUCUUAAUCCUGCUUUGUUUUGAGCUAAACUAAGCAUCCUUUCCUAGGAUUCAAGUGUUCACUGUAUGAGGUAAAUUAACUCUUACAGUCCUCUAGGGUACCAAUUAAUGCCCCAGAGGAGGUAAAUUACUAAAUGGUACCCCGCUGCUCUGAAAGACUGAAUUUGUCUCAAAUGUUUCACUUGCUCCCUGGUAGAAAGUAGAUUACUCCCAAUGGUUCUCUGUAAAACAGGAUCUAUUUUUAAAUGGGAAAUUAGAUUCCAUCUGAUCAGCAGGCUAAAGCUUCCCAAAUGUAUUAUACAGUAGUCAUGAUUGGAUUAUCAAAAGCUAUAAAUGCCUGUAAUGAAAGCUUGAGAGGCCAACAAGUAAAUAAAAGGACAUGGGAAAGAAUAUUUAGAAUAUUUAAAAUAUAUAAAGUUUUGUAAGCAUAGUGAGACCAAGGUAUUUGAGUUUUAUUAUUAGGGUAGUACCAUCUAUCAUUAUUAUUCAGAAGUGAUAUUAUUAUACAAAGAUGUUACCAACAGUAUAGAUCCUCUUCUUCAUGCAUUAAAAAAUAUAAGAUACAGAAACGAGAAGACUGUCACUCCAGCCCACGAAUUUGUAAUGUCGUUUGAAUUCACUGCUUUUGUAAGAUGCUCUUUCGAUGGGUCUGUUAGAAAGUUUUAUUUUAUAUUGAGGUAAAAAUUACUUUCCUAGAUCUUCAUUUGCUCAUUAUUACACAAAUAGUUUUAAGCGCCAGUAAGUGUGUGAUACU
RNAcentral lists this long non-coding RNA (6266 nucleotides) under Sus scrofa (pig). RNAcentral's name for it is "lncRNA (ENSSSCG00015038950.1)". The record is from RNAcentral. Lineage: Eukaryota; Metazoa; Chordata; Mammalia; Artiodactyla; Suidae.